AAAUGAAUUGACGGGGGCCCGCACAAGCGGAGGAACAUGUGGUUUAAUUCGAUGAUACGCGAGGAACCUUACCUGGGCUUAAAUGUAUAGUGCAUUACGAAGAAAUUUGUAUUUCCUACGGGACUCUAUGCAAGGUGCUGCAUGGUUGUCGUCAGCUCGUGCCGUGAGGUGUCGGGUUAAGUCCCAUAACGAGCGCAACCCUUAUCGUUAGUUGCCAGCGGGUAAAGCCGGGAACUCUAACGAAACUGCCGGUGUAAACCGCGAGGAAGGUGGGGAUGACGUCAAAUCAGCACGGCCCUUAUGUCCAGGGCUACACACGUGUUACAAUGGUCGGUACAGAGGGCAGCUACCCUGUGAAGGGGUGCGAAUCUCGAAAGCCGGUCUCAGUUCGGAUCGGAGUCUGCAACUCGACUCCGUGAAGCUGGAUUCGCUAGUAAUCGCGCAUCAGCCAUGGCGCGGUGAAUACGUUCCCGGGCCUUGUACACACCGCCCGU
Molecule: ribosomal RNA, 494 nt
Filed under: uncultured bacterium
Lineage: Bacteria
Description: bacterial SSU rRNA
Rfam family: Bacterial small subunit ribosomal RNA
Source: RNAcentral